GCGGAAGUAGCUCACUUGGUAGAGCAUCAGCCUUCCAAGCUGAGGGUCGCGGGUUUGAACCCCGUCUUCCGCU
This 73-nucleotide transfer RNA is filed under the name Bacteroidales bacterium. Its description in RNAcentral is "tRNA-Gly". It matches the Rfam family "tRNA". From Rfam's summary of the family: Transfer RNA (tRNA) molecules are approximately 80 nucleotides in length. Their secondary structure includes four short double-helical elements and three loops (D, anti-codon, and T loops). Lineage: Bacteria; Pseudomonadati; Bacteroidota; Bacteroidia; Bacteroidales. The record is from RNAcentral.